RNAcentral lists this ribosomal RNA (520 nucleotides) under uncultured Glomus. Its description in RNAcentral is "SSU rRNA". It matches the Rfam family "Eukaryotic small subunit ribosomal RNA", at positions 569 to 1088 of the family's 1831-position model. The record is from RNAcentral. Lineage: Eukaryota; Fungi; Glomeromycota; Glomeromycetes; Glomerales; Glomeraceae.
AGCAGCCGCGGUAAUUCCAGCUCCAAUAGCGUAUAUUAAAGUUGUUGCAGUUAAAAAGCUCGUAGUUGAAUUUCGGGGUUAGUAGGUCGGUCGUGCCACUGGUAUGUACUGGUUCUACUGAUCCCUCCUUCUUGUAGAACCGUAAUGCCAUUUACUUGGUGUUGCGGAGAAACAGGACUGUUACUUUGAAAAAAUUAGAGUAGUUUAAAGCAAGCUAACGCUUGAAUACAUUAGCAUGGAAUAAUGAAAUAGGACGUUCGAUCCUAUUUUGUUGGUUUCUAGGAUUGACGUAAUGAUUAAUAGGGAUAGUUGGGGGCAUUAGUAUUCAAUUGUCAGAGGUGAAAUUCUUGGAUUUAUUGAAGACUAACUACUGUCGAAAGCAUUUGCCAAGGAUGUUUUCAUUAAUCAAGAACGAAAGUUAGGGGGUCGAAGACGAUCAGAUACCGUCGUAGUCUUAACCAUAAACUAUGCCGACUAGGGAUCGGAUGAUGUUAAUUUUUUAUGUACUCAUUCGGCGCCU